GAACGAUAUCGGCGACGAGCCUUUUUAACACGGUAGGAGGCAGAGAUUAGGAGAUCCAAAUAAAAAACCUAAAGGAAGUUCGGGUUCUUCGAUUCAAAUUUCAAUAUCCGUGAACGAGCCCUUCGAUUACUAUCUCUCUGUCGGACCAACAUCUGCGGGGCAAACGUUUUCUCGGACCACUCCUUUGAUUCAAUAUCGGAAACUCUUCCGAGUUUUAUUCACAGCAACAAGUAAUGGAGGAUGUGAAACAUAAAUCCAGGAAGGAGGAUACAGAGAGGAAGGAGGAAUCCAGGAAAAAACAACGUGACCGUGGUCGUGAGAGAGAAAGAGAUAAGGAGAGGAACGGAGAGAGGCACAAGGACAGGGAGAAGAGAGACAGGGAAAGCAGGCGUUCUCAGAGAGAGAGGAGUAGUGAUUCUGAUGAGGUACAGGAGAGGGAGAGGGAGAAGGAGAAGGAGAAGCACAGAGACAGGGACAAGGAUAGAGCUAGAGACAGGAAGAGAGAUAAAGAGAGAGACAGGGACAGAGAAGAUAAAUAUAAGGAGAGGGAGAAAGAGAGAGAAGAGAAGAGGGAGAGGGCUAGGGAGAAAGAGAGGGAGAGGGAGAGGGAGCGAGAACGGGAGAAGAGGGAACGUGACAAGGAGGAGCAAGAAAAGGAGCGGAGGGAACGUGACAGAGAAGAACGAGAGAGAGCAAGGGAGAAGAGGGAGCGUGAGAGAGGGAGGGAGAAGAGGAUAAGGGAAAGGGAGAAACGUCAUGACGUUGACAGUGAUGAUACUGAUGGCUCUAGGGAUCAUGACAAGAAGCGGCACAGGAGGGAUGAUAAUGACGACGAGGAGAGAGAACGUGAACGUAGCAUUAGCAGGUCACAAAGGCGCAAGGAUGACACUGAAGAGAGCCCAAGAAAAAGAAGCAGUGAGGAUGACUCAGAUAAGAAAGAAAAAACCCGAGAAGAGGUAAUAGAGGAUGAACAACAGAAACUGGACGAGGAAAUGGAGAAGAGGAGGCGGAGAGUUCAAGAGUGGCAAGAGUUGAAGAGAAAGAAGGAGGAAUUUGAGCGAGAAAAGCAUGGGGAAGUGGAUGCAGAUGAACCCAAGGCUGGUAAGACCUGGACUCUUGAAGGAGAAUCGGACGAUGAGGAGGCACCUCUUGUAGGAAAAUCAGAGGCAGACAUGGACAUGGACGAGGAUGCUAGUACUGGUAAAGAAGUUGGAGACACAAUGGUGGUUGACUCUGAAAACGGGACAGCUGCACCUCUGCAAAACGGGGCUGAUAUUGUUGAUGGGGCUGAUGAAAUUGAUCCAUUAGAUGCUUUCAUGAAUACUAUGGUCUUGCCUGAGGUUGAAAAGCUAAGUAAUACUGUGGUUUCAUCAACUGUUGUUGGUAAUCAUAUGGAACCGGCAAAGGAGAGGAGGGAACAUAGUAGCAAUCGUGAAAGGCCAAAGAAAGGUUCCAAUAAAUCAUUGGGAAGAAUAAUUCCAGGUGAGGAUUCUGAUUCAGAUUAUGGGGACCUUGAGAAGGAUGAAAAUAAUUUAGAAGAUGAAGAUGAUGACGAGUUCAUGAAAAGAGUGAAGAAGACAAAAGUUGAGAAAUUAUCCCUUGUUGAUCACUCAAAGAUUGACUAUGAACCGUUCCGAAGAAAUUUCUAUAUCGAGGUGAAGGAGCUUGCAAAGAUGACUCCUGAAGAGGUUGCUGCUUACAGAAAAGAAUUGGAAUUGAAGAUUCACGGAAAGGAUGUACCAAAACCAGUGAAAUCAUGGCACCAAACAGGACUUCCAAGUAAAAUUUUAGAGACUAUAAAGAAGCUUAACUUUGAAAAUCCAACAGCAAUUCAAGCACAGGCGCUGCCAGUUAUUAUGAGUGGUCGGGACUGCAUAGGUGUUGCAAAAACUGGCUCUGGGAAAACUCUGGCAUUUGUGCUUCCAAUGUUGAGACAUAUAAAGGACCAGCCUCCUGUGGAAGCAGGAGACGGGCCUAUUGGGCUUAUAAUGGCACCUACAAGGGAGCUUGUCCAGCAAAUCCACAGUGAUAUAAAAAAGUUUGCGAAGGUAUUGGGUACUAGAUGUGUGCCUGUGUACGGCGGUUCUGGUGUUGCCCAACAGAUCAGUGACUUAAAACGGGGGACUGAGAUUGUUGUCUGUACUCCUGGUAGGAUGAUUGACAUUUUGUGUACUAGUGGAGGAAAGAUAACAAAUCUGCGUAGAGUCACCUAUUUUGUUAUGGAUGAAGCUGAUCGAAUGUUUGAUAUGGGUUUUGAACCUCAGAUCACACGAAUUGUCCAAAAUAUUAGGCCAAAUCGUCAGACAGUACUGUUUUCUGCCACUUUUCCUCGACAGGUUGAAAUUUUGGCUCGUAAAGUAUUGAGCAAACCUGUUGAAAUACAGGUUGGUGGGAGAAGUGUGGUGAACAAGGACAUAACCCAGUCAAUUGAGUUGAGGCCGGAGAAUGAGAGGUUCUUAAGACUUUUGGAACUAUUAGGUCAAUGGUAUGAGAAAGGAAAGAUUUUGAUAUUUGUCCACACACAGGAAAAAUGUGAUGCUUUGUAUAAGGAUUUAGUUGACCGUGGUUACCCUUGCCUUUCUCUUCAUGGGGCUAAGGACCAAACAGACCGUGAAUCCACCAUUUCUGACUUCAAAAGCAAUGUCAGCAGUGUUUUGAUUGCAACAAGUGUUGCAGCCAGGGGUUUAGAUGUGAAAGAACUCGAACUUGUGGUCAACUUUGAUGCUCCAAACCAUUAUGAAGAUUAUGUUCACCGUGUUGGUAGAACUGGCCGAGCUGGUCGUAAAGGUUGUGCCAUUACUUUCAUAUCUGAGGAGGAUGCUAGAUAUGCACCAGAUCUUGUAAAAGCUUUGGAACUUUCUGAGCAAGUUGUUCCUGGAGACCUAAAAGCUCUUGCAGAUAAUUUUAUGGCAAAAGUGAAUCAGGGGCUUGAGCAAGCUCAUGGAACUGGUUAUGGUGGAAGUGGCUUUAAAUUCAAUGAAGAGGAGGAUGAGAAGAGGAAAGCGGCAAAAAAAGCACAGGCAAAAGAAUAUGGUUUUGAGGAAGACAAGUCAGAUUCAGAAGAUGAAGAUGAAGGAAUCAGGAAGGCAGGUGGUGAUAUCUCGCAGCAAGCCACCCUUGCUCAGAUUGCUGCCUUUGCUGCUGCCUCCAAAGCCGGUACAGCUUCAAUGCAGACUCCUAUUACAACUACCCAAUUGCUACCCAAUGGUGGACUACCUGUUUCUCUGCCUGGAGUCUUAAACAUAGCAAUUCCCGGUACAGCUGCUGUUGUGCCUGGAACUGGGCUGCCUCUUAAUCCCAAUGAUGGGGCAGCUCGGGCCGCAGCAUUGGCAGCUGCUAUCAACCUGCAGCAUAAUUUGGCAAAGAUUCAGGCUGAUGCAAUGCCUGAACACUAUGAAGCAGAGUUGGAAAUCAAUGACUUCCCCCAAAAUGCUCGGUGGAAGGUCACUCACAAGGAAACAUUGGGUCCGAUCUCAGACUGGACUGGAGCUGCUAUUACGACCAGGGGGCAGUAUUUCCCUCCAGGCCGGGUCACAGCACAAGGAGAGCGCAAGCUUUAUUUGUUCAUUGAGGGUCCCACUGAGCAGUCUGUUAAGAGAGCAAAAGCAGAAUUAAAACGUGUUCUAGAAGACAUUACAAACCAGGCCUUGUCACUUCCAGGUGGAGCUCAACCAGGCAGAUACUCGGUUGUAUAAGUGGAUGAUUUAAGCCUAUGCUGGCAUAUCCAAUGUAUUCUCUGCCCAUUGCCUUUGGCUGAUGAAGAGGUGGCGAUCUGAUCCAAUCAAAUUUACUUGGGUGUGUUGUUUGCAGAGAUGGAGCCAUUCCAACAACCACCCUGAUAGUGGGAGCAAACCUUCUUAAAGGUCUAAAAGGGCCAGCUGGAAUCCAGAAGUCUCUUACAAUCGGCAUUGUAGCUGCUCGUUACAUUGCUUUGCCUCUGACUGGCAACUUAGUUGUUAAAAGGGUCACUGCAUUUUGGUUUGUUGCAGGCUGAUCCUUUGUAUGAAUUUAUUCCCCUGCUUCAGUUUGCAGUUCCACCUGCCAUGAAUAUUGGAACCAUGACACAGUUGUUUGGAGCGGGAGCGAGUGAAUGUUCUGUUAUUAUGCUAUGGACUUACGCCUUGGCUUCAAUCUCUUUCAACUCUUUGGUCAACCUUCUUCAUGUGGCUGGUGGCUUGAACUAGUUAGGCAGGAGAUGGAGUCAAUUCACCCAACAAUAGCAGCAUAUGCAACAAACGAAGAACGAACGAUAUGGAUUCACAAAAGUCGACUUAGUUGCAGAGUUUGUUCCUCCCCACUUUUUGUUAGGGUUGUAGAGAACGUUAGAAAUGCAGUAGGGAUACAAUGGAAUGGACGAAUGAAGAAAAUCAGCCUUUAGGAUACGUCAUUAGGAGAAAAAAGGGAUGUAAGUAAUCAAGAUUUUGAUACCAUUUUUUGCAAAUGUAAAAGGUAUGUAAGUGAUAGAUAGGUGGACUGGUUUGUUGUAUACAGAGUCACCAAUCCAGAAAAUGUAUUGGCAAGUGUAAACAGUAAAUGAACUCAUGGGUCAUAAGCCUUCAUGUUUAGUACCUUUUGUUCUUCCAAUUAUAAUCUCAACUCUCACCUCUCAAAUAAAAAUAAGUAAAUAACUGUAUAUAAUUCCAAUCACAAAAUUAAGAAACGCUCUCUAAUUGCAAAAUGAAACAUUGACACACACUGGGGUUUGGCGUAAACAAAAUUUGAUCCUAAUGAAAACUCAAAAUACAGUCGUCUGGUCACUCUCUCACAGAAGGAAGUUUUGCAAUUAUAUCUUCUAGGAAAAAGAAAAUGAAAAGCUUGACCAAUACACCAACAGUUGAAGAUACAAUAAAUUAGCGCAUAGAGGGUGCCAAAGGACAAUCAACUCUGGAAAUUAUUUAGAAAAAGAAAAGCUUGACCAAUACACCAACAGUUGAAGAUACAAUAAAUUAGUGCAUAGAGGGUGCCAAAGGACAAUCAAUUCUGGAAAUUAUUU
Tripterygium wilfordii is the source of this 4993-nucleotide RNA transcript. It is a transcript of the gene named DEAD-box ATP-dependent RNA helicase 42-like, with no coding region annotated. The transcript has 7 exons. The record is from RefSeq and is a predicted model, not a curated record. Lineage: Eukaryota; Viridiplantae; Streptophyta; Magnoliopsida; Celastrales; Celastraceae.